AUACGAAGGGGGCUAGCGUUGUUCGGAAUUACAGGGCGUAAAGCGCGCGUAGGCGGAUUGGUCAGUUAGGGGUGAAAUCCCAGGGCUUAACCCUGGAACUGCCUCUAAUACUGCCAGUCUUGAGUUCGGGAGAGGUGAGUGGAAUUCCUAGUGUAGAGGUGAAAUUCGUAGAUAUUAGGAAGAACACCAGUGGCGAAGGCGGCUCACUGGCCCGAUACUGACGCUGAGGCGCGAAAGCGUGGGGAGCAAACAGGAUUAGAAACCCUAGUAGUCC
This 274-nucleotide ribosomal RNA is filed under the name uncultured bacterium. RNAcentral describes it as "partial 16S ribosomal RNA". It matches the Rfam family "Bacterial small subunit ribosomal RNA", at positions 523 to 796 of the family's 1533-position model. The record is from RNAcentral.